RNAcentral lists this long non-coding RNA (1151 nucleotides) under Homo sapiens (human). Its description in RNAcentral is "HSALNT0377876". The record is from RNAcentral. Lineage: Eukaryota; Metazoa; Chordata; Mammalia; Primates; Hominidae.
AAGAAAAGAGAGAAAAAGAGAAGAAGUCACUGCCAGGAUGAUUCAUGUUGGGAAUAGGAUGCCAAACCCCAGAUAAUUGACAAUAGGCUCCCAUGGAAGUCUUCUGUGCAUUUCUGCAAAAAUUUAGGAAACAUUAGGUUUGACACCAUCAUCAUGUUUGCCAAGGCAGCAAAAAUCCCAGCCGGCAAAGCUUCAAGUGUGAUGAAGCGGAACAGCAAGGACAGCACGGAAUGACUGAUCAUUUCAGAAUGCCGUCUAGCGAGAGUUUCCAAUGUGGGAGUUUUCCAUUGUUUUGAAGCAGGAGAAAUAGGGACCGGCUGCUUUGGAAGAAACAUGCUGUAGAGGAAAUGUGGACACAGAGAAACACCAGGGAUGCUCACACGCAGAGGACAGACCACGGGAAGGCACAGCAAGAAUGUGGCCGUCUGCAAGCCAAGGAGAGAAGCCUCAAGAGAAACCAACCUGCCCUUGAUCUUGGACCUCCACCCUCCAGAACUGAUUUAACAUGAAGCAAAAGUGACCUGGAAUCUUUUCUCCUUUUAUUGCCAAAAUGCAAAGAAAAGAGUCUUUAGCUCUCAGAAAAAGACUACAUUUAAGAGUGAAAAUAAGAAAAUGUGGGAGUUUGAGGAAAAGUAUCAUCAGCUGUCAAAUGUCAUGAAUGCGCAGUCUUGGUCAAUGGGCCACAUGACCCAAAACUCAUUAUCCUCCCCAAAGCCACCAAUAUCAAUACAUGCACCAAAUGCAUCGACGCAAUAGUUUUCUACCUUGGCCUGUCAAUGAAGUUAUUGAAACUAAAUUGCCAACUCAUUUCCAUUCUUCUGUUCAAUUUAUCACCCGUUUUGAGAGCUACGCCAAUCAAUUCUAUUACACAUUUUCCUGCAACUCCUCACUUGAUAAUGAAGUAAUCAAAAGAAUCAGGGUUUUACCUAUAAAUAUUAUUUCACUUGAUACUUUAGAUGAAUUUCAGGAUCCUUGCAUGCAGUGUGCCCUUAAUAAGUAAUUGCUGAAUGAAUGAACAAAGUAUUGGGCUGAAUCACAUUAUUGUAUAUAUUCACAAAGUAAUAGAUCAAAUCAUAUUUUUAGUACAGCCAGUCAUGAAUUGAUUCUUAAAAUAAACCCAUGGUGAUCAUUUUAUAAAAGGGAAGACAAUU